AGCUUUGCGCAGCGGCGGUAUCGUAGCCAGUGAAGUGUGAACUGAGGCGCGACUAUUGCUAGUUGAAAACUUUUCCCAAUACCUCGCGUUGACGACGUGAAAUACCGUCGGCAAUGGCAAUUUUUGGCAGCCUCCACGGAGG
This is a small nuclear RNA of Ornithodoros turicata, 142 nucleotides long. RefSeq annotates it as U4 spliceosomal RNA. NCBI's taxonomy places the organism in Eukaryota, Metazoa, Arthropoda, Arachnida, Ixodida, Argasidae. The record is from RefSeq and is a predicted model, not a curated record. The transcript has a single exon.